GGAGUUAAGGAGACCUGUUAGAAUCCGGUCUUUGACUGGAAACAGAAUGAGCAAGACAAAGGAGAUCAGGGAUGUGAUCUAUAAGAUUGGAAGAGAGUGACCUGAAAAGGGGACUUAACCA
RNAcentral lists this long non-coding RNA (121 nucleotides) under Papio anubis (olive baboon). Its description in RNAcentral is "lncRNA (ENSPANG00000048098.1)". Lineage: Eukaryota; Metazoa; Chordata; Mammalia; Primates; Cercopithecidae. The record is from RNAcentral.